RNAcentral lists this ribosomal RNA (253 nucleotides) under uncultured bacterium. RNAcentral's name for it is "partial 16S ribosomal RNA". It matches the Rfam family "Bacterial small subunit ribosomal RNA", at positions 524 to 776 of the family's 1533-position model. The record is from RNAcentral.
UACGUAGGUGGCAAGCGUUGUCCGGAAUUAUUGGGCGUAAAGCGCGCGCAGGCGGCCUCUUAAGUCUGAUGUGAAAUCUUGCGGCUCAACCGCAAGCGGCCAUUGGAAACUGGGGGGCUUGAGUACAGAAGAGGAGAGUGGAAUUCCACGUGUAGCGGUGAAAUGCGUAGAUAUGUGGAGGAACGCCAGUGGCGAAGGCGACUCUCUGGUCUGUAACUGACGCUGAGGCGCGAAAGCGUGGGGAGCAAACAGG